Pseudonaja textilis is the source of this 96-nucleotide non-coding RNA. The record is from RefSeq and is a predicted model, not a curated record. NCBI's taxonomy places the organism in Eukaryota, Metazoa, Chordata, Lepidosauria, Squamata, Elapidae.
GCUCCUCAGCAUAGCUGACUAAGAAAUUCUGGGAGUUGAAGUCCACAAGUCUUAAAGUUACCAAGUUUGGGGACCCCUUGUCCUAGCUCAUGAGGC